Molecule: unclassified non-coding RNA, 246 nt
Filed under: Hevea brasiliensis (rubber tree)
Lineage: Eukaryota; Viridiplantae; Streptophyta; Magnoliopsida; Malpighiales; Euphorbiaceae
Source: RNAcentral
CCCUCUACCAGUCUACCAAGUCCUUAUCCAGCACAAUAAAAGUCCGCUUGAGGGGAUCUUGGGAUCCAGGAGAGCUGCAUCUGGUAUUCCUCUUCGAGAGAGNNNNNNNNNAUGGCUACAACCCCGUAGCUUGGAAAAGAGCAGGUUCUUGCAUCCACUGGUGAUACUUGGGAACACGAGCCUCCAUGUAUGAUACCAAGCAUUAGCUUCUCUCCUUCAAGCUCACUGUCAUUUUUCUAAGCUUCG